GAAGAGUAACAAAUGACAAGUUCUCAUUUCCCAUAUACUUGUGCUAUAUGGUUUAUGCUCCUCUUUACAUUGCUGGACCAAUCAUUAGCUUCAAUGCAUUUGCCUCGCAGAAGAGUAGGACAUGGAUACUUAAACAAAAGAGUAAUGUAGUACAACUGCUCAAUGCCAAAUUCUCUUCAACACAUGUUGGAUUCUCCCCAGAACAUAUACUCAUCCCGAGAUAUUGCUUGGUAUGGAUUCUGAUGGGUUUUUUGUCUUUCACUAAUGGAAGUCAUG
Molecule: long non-coding RNA, 276 nt
Organism: Salvia miltiorrhiza (redroot sage)
Lineage: Eukaryota; Viridiplantae; Streptophyta; Magnoliopsida; Lamiales; Lamiaceae
Exons: 3
Source: RefSeq, a predicted model, not a curated record